UGCUGUUGCUGCUGCUGAAUUAGCAAUUGCUGCUGCUGCCGACGCCUGGCUGUUCGUAGCUUUUCAAAGCGAGCCUCCAUUUCUUCCAGAACUUUUGGGGUGUAUCGCACCACCAGCUUGACGCUGUCUUUAGCAGCCUUGAGUAGUUCCACAGCUUUCUCAUGGUGUUCUCCUUCCACACUCACUCCGUUCACUGAUAGCAGCUGGUCUCCUCUUUUG
Molecule: long non-coding RNA, 219 nt
Filed under: Homo sapiens (human)
Lineage: Eukaryota; Metazoa; Chordata; Mammalia; Primates; Hominidae
Description: LNC_000850
Source: RNAcentral